This 477-nucleotide ribosomal RNA is filed under the name uncultured bacterium. RNAcentral's name for it is "partial 16S ribosomal RNA". It matches the Rfam family "Bacterial small subunit ribosomal RNA", at positions 28 to 507 of the family's 1533-position model. The record is from RNAcentral.
GAUUAACGCUGGCGGCGUGCAUAACACAUGCAAGUCGAACGAUGAAACUUAAAUGAUUUCUUCGGAAUGAACUUAAGUGGAUUAGUGGCGGACGGGUGAGUAACGCGUGAGUAACCUGCCUUACACAAGGGGAUAGCCGUUGGAAACGACGAAUAAUACCCUAUGAAACUAUCACUUCGCAUGAAGCGAUAGUCAAAGUGUUAGCGGUGUAAGAUGGACUUGCGUCUGAUUAGCUAGUUGGUGAGAAAAAAGCCCACCAAGGCAACGAUCAGUAGCCGGCUUGAGAGAGUGUACGGCUACAUUGGGACUGAGACACGGCCCAGACUCCUACGGGAGGCAGCAGUGGGGAAUUUUGCACAAUGGGGGAAACCCUGAUGCAGCGACGCCGCGUGAUUUAGAAGGCCUUCGGGUUGUAAAAAUCUUUUGUAUAGGAAGAAAAUGACAGUACUAUACGAAUAAGGUCCGGCUAAUUACGUG